This 267-nucleotide ribosomal RNA is filed under the name uncultured bacterium. RNAcentral's name for it is "partial 16S ribosomal RNA". It matches the Rfam family "Bacterial small subunit ribosomal RNA", at positions 793 to 1055 of the family's 1533-position model. The record is from RNAcentral.
GUCCACGCCCUAAACGAUGGAUACUAGGCGUAAGAGGUAUCGACCCCUCUUGUGCCGCAGCUAACGCACUAAGUAUCCCGCCUGGGGAGUACGGCCGCAAGGUUGAAACUCAAAUGAAUUGACGGGGACCCGCACAAGCGGUGGAGCAUGUGGAUUAAUUCGAUACUAACCGAAGAACCUUACCCAGGUUUGACAUCGAUUGUAAGCCUAAGAGAUUAGGCCCUCCCCCACAAGGGGACAUGAAGACACUUGUUGCAUGGCUGUCGU